AUCCUCAUUCGUACUGACACAACUGACUGAAUUACUCAUCUUUUUCUCCUGUUUCAGUCACCACAUAAAAUAUGAUAAUUCUUAGGUUGUUGAACUUGUUCAUUUUUGCAUCAGUUUAUCAUGAGUGUCGUGGAGAAGAGAGUGUUGAUCAGCCAGAUAAACACAUCGCCCAAUCUGAAGGAAGAUCAGUAACCCUACAAUGCAAAUUUAAAACAGCUUCAUCCCAACCAGACCUUUUCUGGUACAUCCAGAGAGCAAAUGACUUUCCUAAAUAUAUCCUGAGGAGAAACAAAUAUGGAGCAGAAGAUAAUGAUCCUCAGUUUCAGGAGAGAUUUCGCUCUAAAGUGUCAUCAGAUUCAGUUCCUCUGACAAUCAAGAACCUGUGUGUGUCUGACUCUGCUGUGUAUUACUGUGCUCUGAAGCCCACUGUGACUCAAACACACUCAACACUCACACAAAAACAGAGGAAGUGCUCAAUUAUAUGAAAAGAUGUGAAUCCUAUGGCGGCAUUUUAAUGCCAUUAAUGACCGAGCGCACAAUUGAUGCUUGCGCGCGCAGUAAAUCACUUCCGCGAGAGGAUAACAGAUCUGCACGCGAGGAAACGGGAGCCCGCAAGCUCAUUUUAAACCCGCGCGCGCGCAUGACAUCUUCCUCUGCGCGCAGAUCAAGCCCUCGCGUGCUCGGACAAGAUUUGCAGCCCGCGCGUCAUCAU
Molecule: non-coding RNA, 712 nt
Organism: Megalobrama amblycephala (Wuchang bream)
Lineage: Eukaryota; Metazoa; Chordata; Actinopteri; Cypriniformes; Xenocyprididae
Source: the annotation of a RefSeq genome assembly